ACUUGCUCUGCGCUGAGGUGCUGGGACAGCCAUGGUUUCAGACGUUCACUUUAUCCAAAUGCAUAGAUGCCGUGAUGGUGCUGGGAAAUUCGCAUUUAUUCAUGAAUCGUUCCAACAAACUUGCUGUGAUAGCAAGUCACAUUCAAGAAAGCCGAUUCUUAUAUCCUGGAAAGAAUGGCAGACUUGGAGACUUCUUCGGAGACCCUGGCAACCUUCCUGAAUUUAAUCCCUCUGGGAGUAAAGAUGGAAAAUACGAACUUUUAACCUCAGCAAAUGAAGUUAUUGUUGAAGAGAUUAAAGAUCUAAUGACCAAAAGUAACAACUUUUAAACAUUGUUAUUUUGCAAAUAGUGUUGAUUUUGGAGGUCCUUUAGGCUUUAAGUUCAAAGAUGUGAGGUUCUUUAUGUUGUAUGCCUGCACGUUCUCACUUUUUAAAAAUCAUUUUCAUCAAAGUUGGUUCAUUAUUUGCCUAGCCUCUACAGCAUUUGACGCUGCUGAGCAGCCUUUACUUCUGGAAACAUGACUUUUGGCUUCUACGAAUGCCCUGUGACCUGUUUUUCCUCUUUUCUUGAAACAUUAUUUCAUA
This 585-nucleotide small RNA is filed under the name Pan troglodytes (chimpanzee). RNAcentral's name for it is "retained intron". Lineage: Eukaryota; Metazoa; Chordata; Mammalia; Primates; Hominidae. The record is from RNAcentral.